CAAACUCAUGUUUUAUUAUUUGGCAUUAACAUAUUUCGGUUGAUACAGUAAACAGCUCUAAGCUUUUGUGUGCUUUUUGUUUCUGUCUUGGGCAUGUACCAGCCUUUCCUGUAGUUAUCAAACGGACGCAUGGACUUGUAGCUUUUACAAUUAUAUGUCAAUACACAUAUAAAUCCAUAAGAAGCCCCUAUUUUCUAUUCGAUAAUCUGUUGCGUCCAAAUCAAUAUAUAAUUGUACCUAUUUCCGUGAAGAAGUUUAUAGUCUUAUAUCCCUCAAGAUGUGUUACGGAUGCUAUGGAUGUUAUGGAUGCGGAUGCGGAUCUUGCUGUUCUCCGUGCUACUCGUGCUGUGGAGGUUGCUGUGGUGGUUGCUACGGCGGCUGCUGUGGCGGUUGCUACGGAGGUUGCUGUGGCGGUUGCUAUGGCUGCGGCUACUGUUGACAUCUUCAGAAGGAAAUCUAGGUGCUCUAUCAAUUCUACUAGGAAAGGUG
Molecule: long non-coding RNA, 489 nt
Organism: Drosophila busckii
Lineage: Eukaryota; Metazoa; Arthropoda; Insecta; Diptera; Drosophilidae
Exons: 2
Source: RefSeq, a predicted model, not a curated record